This 541-nucleotide ribosomal RNA is filed under the name uncultured bacterium. RNAcentral's name for it is "bacterial SSU rRNA". It matches the Rfam family "Bacterial small subunit ribosomal RNA", at positions 246 to 777 of the family's 1533-position model. The record is from RNAcentral.
UUGUUGGUAGGGUAUCGGCCUCACCAAGGCGACGAUGUGUAGCUGGUCUGAGAGGACGAUCAGCCACACUGGAACUGGAACACGGUCCAGACUCYUACGGGAGGCAGCAGUGAGGAAUAUUGCGCAAUGGGGGAAACCCUGACGCAGCGAUGCCGCGUGAGUGAAGAAGGCCUUCGGGUCGUAAAGCUCUGUCAAGUGGGAAGAACAGUUUGGGGACGAAUAAUCCUCGAGCCUGACGGUACCACUGAAGGAAGCACCGGCUAACUCCGUGCCAGCAGCCGCGGUAAGACGGAGGGUGCAAGCGUUAUUCGGAUUUAUUGGGCGUAAAGAGCGUGUAGGCGGCCGGCCAAGCCAGAUGUGAAAGCCCAGGGCUUAACCCUGGAAGUGCAUUUGGAACUGGUUGGCUUGAGUUCGGGAGAGGGAAGUGGAAUUCCGGGUGUAGAGGUGAAAUUCGUAGAUAUCCGGAGGAACACCGGUGGCGAAGGCGACUUCCUGGACCGAAACUGACGCUGAGACGCGAAAGCGUGGGGAGCAAACAGGA